Cyanistes caeruleus (blue tit) is the source of this 876-nucleotide non-coding RNA. The record is from RefSeq and is a predicted model, not a curated record. NCBI's taxonomy places the organism in Eukaryota, Metazoa, Chordata, Aves, Passeriformes, Paridae.
UAGGGUUUUUUAUGAGACAGAUUUCCUUUGGAAUAACCUGUGUCUGGUUAGGAAGACUAAGGUGGAAAGAAAUGGCUCCAUCCCACUCAAGAUGACACAUGCAGCUCAAAAAAGUGGGAACUUUGAGCUGGUUGGAAGUCAAGCUGAACCACAACCUCCCUUGAGGUGGGGAGAAUGGAUGAGAAAUAGAAGACUGUGUCUUAAAAUGGAAUUCAAGACAAGGGGAAGAAACAGAGGGAAUCCACUCUGUUGGAAAUAUACUUUCUUCAAUUACCUGCUUUCAAAUGAAAGGAAAAAGUAGAUUGCUUAACCUGAAAAGGUGGCUGAACAACAGGUCACCUGGAGAAAUCUUUACACACUUCCAAUGUUCUCUGAGGGGACAUUUUGGAUCAGAAGAAAAUGGAGAUCUAAUCUGAUGGUAACUUGUUUGUUCCUUGGGUUCAUUAUUUGGUGUUUUCUGAUAUUAACUGUAACCUACUCUAGUAAGAGAAAUCACCAUCACUUAUUCCAGUGGCAAUGGUUUGAUGGAAAAUGUGACUGCAAUAUCGUUCUGUAUGAAAGACAAACUGUGAGUGUUUGAUCAGUGUACAAAGAAGAAGAAAAUAUAUAUGAGGCAAUAAAAAAAUAGGAGCUAGAGCUAAAAGUUAAACAUGGAGAAUGAGGCAUAAUUGUGUCAGGUAAACACUUCUUCCUCAUCAUCUUUUUUUGCUCACUGGUGAGGCUUGUUCACUAUCUAGUCCUGCAUGUUGGAAUUGAGCAUCAAUUUUGCAAACUAAGUAAUGAAUCCAUCAGUAGUAUUUCUCUUUACAAUAGGUAAUUUACUGUGUGGUUGAAACAAAAAAAUACAAGAAAGUGUAGGAAAUAAAAACAUAGAAA